GAUGAAGAACGUAGCGAAAUGCGAUAAGUAAUGUGAAUUGCAGAAUUCAGUGAAUCAUCGAAUCUUUGAACGCACAUUGCGCCCGCCAGUAUUCUGGCGGGCAUGCCUGUUCGAGCGUCAUUUCAACCAUCAAGCCCCCGGGCUUGUGUUGGGGACCUGCGGCUGCCGCAGGCCCUGAAAAGCAGUGGCGGGCUCGCUGUCACACCGAGCGUAGUAGCAUACAUCUCGCUCUGGGCGUGCUGCGGGUUCCGGCCGUUAAACCACCUUUUAACCCAAGGUUGACCUCGGAUCAGGUAGGGAUACCCGCUGAACUUAAGCAUAUCAAUAAGCGGAGGA
RNAcentral lists this unclassified non-coding RNA (336 nucleotides) under soil metagenome. Its description in RNAcentral is "partial contains 5.8S ribosomal RNA, internal transcribed spacer 2, and large subunit ribosomal RNA". The stretch from base 1 to 120 matches the Rfam family "5.8S ribosomal RNA", at positions 35 to 154 of the family's 154-position model. The record is from RNAcentral.